GACGAACGCUGGCGGCGUGCUUAACACAUGCAAGUCGAACGGAAAGACCCUGCUUUUGUGGGGUGCUCGAGUGGCGAACGGGUGAGUAACACGUGAGUAACCUGCCCUUGACUUUGGGAUAACUUCAGGAAACUGGGGCUAAUACCGGAUAGGAGCUCCUGCUGCAUGGUGGGGGUUGGAAAGUUUCGGCGGUUGGGGAUGGACUCGCGGCUUAUCAGCUUGUUGGUGGGGUAGUGGCUUACCAAGGCUUUGACGGGUAGCCGGCCUGAGAGGGUGACCGGCCACAUUGGGACUGCGAUACGGCCCAGACUCCUACGGGAGGCAGCAGUGGGGAAUAUUGCACAAUGGGCGGAAGCCUGAUGCAGCAACGCCGCGUGCGUGAUGACGGCCUUCGGGUUGUAAACCGCUUUCGCCUGUGACGAAGCGUGAGUGACGGUAAUGGGUAAAGAAGCACCGGCUAACUACGUG
RNAcentral lists this ribosomal RNA (468 nucleotides) under uncultured bacterium. RNAcentral describes it as "partial 16S ribosomal RNA". It matches the Rfam family "Bacterial small subunit ribosomal RNA", at positions 28 to 507 of the family's 1533-position model. The record is from RNAcentral.